Molecule: long non-coding RNA, 1674 nt
Filed under: Oncorhynchus mykiss (rainbow trout)
Lineage: Eukaryota; Metazoa; Chordata; Actinopteri; Salmoniformes; Salmonidae
Description: lncRNA (ENSOMYG00000067808.1)
Source: RNAcentral
UAUUGAUGUAUAUUGAUGUAUAUUGAUGUAUAUUGAUGUAUAUUGAUGUAUGUGAUGUAUAUUGAUGUAUAUUGAUGUAUAUUGAUGUAUAUUGAUGUAUAUUGAUGUAUAUUGAUAUAUAUUGAUGUAUAUUGAUGUAUAUUGAUGUAUAUUGAUGUAUAUUGAUGUAUAUUGAUGUAUAUUGAUGUAUGUGAUGUAUAUUGAUGUAUAUUGAUGUAUAUUGAUGUAUAUUGAUGUAUAUUGAUAUAUAUUGAUGUAUAUUGAUGUAUAUUGAUGUAUAUUGAUGUAUAUUGAUGUAUAUUGAUGUAUGUGAUGUAUAUUGAUGUAUAUUGAUGUAUAUUGAUGUAUAUUGAUGUAUAUUGAUGUAUAUUGAUAUAUAUUGAUGUAUAUUGAUGUAUGUGAUGUAUAUUGAUGUAUAUUGAUGUAUGUGAUAGUGAAAUACAGGAGGAAGAGGAGGAAGAGGAGAAUCAGCAGCAGGAGAAUCCCAUCUACGGAAACAUCACUACAGACCUGUGCUAUGAACCCAUGACCAAGCAACGUUCCAGAGACGACAGAAAGGUACGUACAUCGGGCCAAAAUUAUUCUUGUUCAUUAUUGUUCACAUACAACUGUCAUUACAUGAAUAUUUGCAUUUUAGAAUUGUUUGGUUUUAAACUGUACUGUGUAAAUUAAAACAAAACAAAUAUAUAGAGGACAUAGAUUGAUUUACUUUAAUUAACUGCCAAUGCCACGUAAAACAAAAUGUGAAUGACGAACUAUCAUCUCAUCUCAUAAUGGUCAUAAUUGAAAACGACGGUCUGCUGUAUUUAUAUUUAUAUUUUUUUUUUUUCCACCCUGAGAGGAAAUGAACUACGCCUAUACUCAUGUAUUCAUGCUAAUAACAAAAUGUCGAAAUAGGCGUAUAUAUAUUGCAGUUAUUUCGCUUAGACCACAAGUCGCUUAGACCACAUGUCGCUUAGACCACACAGCUUAUAGUAAGCUACAUUACAAAUAGCACCAUAUUCCUUUUAUAGUUCACCACUUCUGACCAAAAGUAGUGCACUAUAUAGGGAAUAGGGUGCUAUAAGGCUCUGGUCUAAAGUAGUGCACUAUAUAGGGAAUAGGGUGCUAUAAGGCUCUGGUCUAAAGUAGUGCACUAUAUAGGGAAUAGGGUGCCAUAAGGCUCUGGUCUAAAGUAGUGCACUAUAUAUAGGGAAUAGGGUUCCAUAGGGCUCUGGUCAAAGUAGUGCACUAUAUAGGGAAUAGGGUGCCAUAGGGCUCUGGUCUAAAGUAGUGCACUAUGUAGGGAAUAGGGUUCCAUAGGGCUCUGGUCAAAGUAGUGCACUAUAUAGGGAAUAGGGUUCCAUAGGGCUCUGGUCUAAAGUAGUGCACUAUAUAGGGAAUAGCACACCAUGUUAACUCAGUCUGUUUCUAAAGUAGUUCACAGUCAUCUGCUGUGGUCAAGGCUAUCUCUAGUUCUCUACACCACACCGCCGUGUACAACGCAGCCAAUAUCUGCUUUAUAGGCUAUAUAUAGUACCAUUUUUCUGAAUGCAUGAGAAGUUACCAAGGACAGGAUGCUCUCCGACUUUCAAGUUUCAAACUUUAUUUGCCACCCGCACAGGAUACAGCAGGUGUAAAACAGCAGAGUGAAAGUCUUACCUUGAGACCUCUUGUAAUAUGAUAUACUAAUAG